CUUUUAUAAACAUAGCAGUUUCAGAGAAACUGCUAUGUUUAUAAAUGGGUUAAUCCAGCCCUCAAAGCCUCUAGUGGCUGUCUCAUUGACAGCCGCUAGAGGCGUGUGGCGAAACCGGCCUCGCCACGUGUCCUUGGAGGGGGCUGCUUGCCCGCCUCUUGCCUUUGGACUAUGGACCAGACUUUAUGAGAAUGUGUUAACCCAGAUAGCUAUGCCAUGGAG
This is a non-coding RNA of Pelobates cultripes (western spadefoot toad), 222 nucleotides long. The record is from the annotation of a GenBank genome assembly. Lineage: Eukaryota; Metazoa; Chordata; Amphibia; Anura; Pelobatidae.